AUCAACUUUCGAUGGUAGGAUAGAGGCCUACCAUGGUGGUAACGGGUAACGGGGUGUUAGGGCACGACACCGGAGAGGGAGCCUGAGAAACGGCUACCACAUCCAAGGAUGGCAGCAGGCGCGCAAAUUACCCAAUCCCGACACGGGGAGGUAGUGACAAUAAAUAACAAUACGGGGUUCUUUAGGAUCUCGUAAUUGGAAUGAGUACAAUUUAAAUCUCUUAACGAGGAACAAUUGGAGGGCAAGUCUGGUGCCGGCAGCCGCGGUAAUUCCAGCUCCAAUAGCGUAUAUUAAAGUUGUUGCAGUUAAAAAGCUCGUAGUUGAAUUUCGGGGUUAGUAGAUUGGUCAUGCCUCUGGUAUGUACUGGUUUCACUCAUUCCUCCUUCCUGAUGAACCGUAAUGCCAUUUAUUUGGUGUUGCGAGGAAUUUGGACUGUUACUUUGAAAAAAUUAGAGUGUUUAAAGCAAGCUAACGCUUGAAUACAUUAGCAUGGAAUAAUGAAAUAGGACGUUCGAUCCUAUUUUGUUGGUUUCUAGGAUUGACGUAAUGAUUAAUAGGGAUAGUUGGGGGCAUUAGUAUUCAAUUGUCAGAGGUGAAAUUCUUGGAUUUAUUGAAGACUAACUACUGCGAAAGCAUUUGCCAAGGAUGUUUUCAUUAAUCAAGAACGAAAGUUAGGGGAUCGAAGACGAUCAGAUACCGUCGUAGUCUUAACCAUAAACUAUGCCGACUAGGGAUCGGAUGAUGUUAAUUUUUUAAUGACUCAUUCGGCGCCUUACGGGAAACCAAAGUGUUUGGGUUC
Molecule: ribosomal RNA, 799 nt
Filed under: uncultured Glomus
Lineage: Eukaryota; Fungi; Glomeromycota; Glomeromycetes; Glomerales; Glomeraceae
Description: SSU rRNA
Rfam family: Eukaryotic small subunit ribosomal RNA
Source: RNAcentral